This is a long non-coding RNA of Mustela erminea (ermine), 405 nucleotides long. RefSeq lists it as uncharacterized. Lineage: Eukaryota; Metazoa; Chordata; Mammalia; Carnivora; Mustelidae. The record is from RefSeq and is a predicted model, not a curated record. The transcript is spliced from 3 exons.
UUGAGUGACGUCGAAGGCCCAGCCAGCGGUGGAGGCGAUGAGAGAGGAGGCCGCGCAAGGGGCCUGAGGAGAAGAGCGGCUGGUUAAGGAUGCUGCCGGAUUCCGACGCAGAUGUGGAGUCCAAGGAGGAAUUCAGAAGAACCGCAGGUGUCGCCCGAGGACAUGAAGCGAGUCUGGGUCCCGUGGCCCCGUGAAAAGUGCUUGCAGCGAGCCGCCUCCUUUGAUCUCGGUCCAGCCCCCGCACUUCCCUGUGAUCCUGCCAGGCGUACACGCUGCGCUGGGAUUCUAGUCCCAGAGUCUGACGAUACAACCCCAGCACAACCUUCAUUCUAAGUCCGCCCAGACUUGCCGAAUGGUCAAGCCCUUGGCCACUCUGAGCCUGCUUUUUCUUCAAUAAAAUCUUGG